Molecule: RNA transcript, 2262 nt
Organism: Helianthus annuus (common sunflower)
Lineage: Eukaryota; Viridiplantae; Streptophyta; Magnoliopsida; Asterales; Asteraceae
Exons: 3
Source: RefSeq, a predicted model, not a curated record
UUUAACCGUUUAUGAACAUAAUUUGUUUGUAUGAUUUCAAGUAUUAACUUGUGACCCCAAGACUCACGAAUAUUUCACCAUACGGGAUGCCACCCGAACCUGAUUUGACGUGCACAAUACUUGAACCCUUUUGUAAGCAUAGAUGUUCACAUUAAGUUAUUUAUUUCAAUAAGAUAAUUCAAUUCACUGUAAUUUUAUUUACGUUAGCACUUGAACGUGUCUUUCAUUAAAUGGUUUAUGUCAACACUGAUAAAUAAGAUAUUUUAUUGUGAAGUAAAUGCCAUAAGUAAUUCAAUUUCUGUUUUUUUUUAACAUAACCCAUAACCCGUGAAGUUCAUGGGUCUAUAAACACACUUGAAAUCAUACAUUUGGAUUAUGUAACGGAAAUUUAUUGCGUGAUGUAGUUUAUACCCUUUUAAAUUGAAUUUUAUUUGCUAUUGUUUUUUUUGUUACAUAUAUAAUGUUGUCGGUUGGGUCUAUUUGAUGACGAAAUUGUUUUCAUACUGCUUUAUCUUGAAUUUUAUUUUAAAAUAUAUGACAUAUGAAUAUAUUUCGCAACCCAAAUGAGUUGAAGCUAUGAUCAAAGUUGAUUGUUGUUACUCAAGCACAGGUUACGUCUCUCCCUUGAUAUGUUUAUAUAGAAUCAUACAAAAAAAAUACUUUUAUAGAUAUAGAUUUUUAAACACAACCCAUAACCCGUGAAGCUCACGGGCAUAUAACCUAGUCUAUAUCUAUAUCUAUAUAUAUAAUAAAGUAAACUAAACGAUGACACGUGUCGAUUGCUUAGGAGUUCUUGGAUGAGUUUUCCCGCUAAACCCAUUAACCUCGAUUAAUAUACCUUGGGUUGUACACGUGGUGCUCCAGAUUCUUUUCUUUUAUGACCCGGAUUUAAAUUUAAUUCAAUCACUAAAAUUUAGCCAUCAUUCGUUGUUUUUAUCUUUCCACUCCAAAACCCUAAACAACACUCCAUCAUCUCUCAACAGCGGCUCCUUUAACACAGAAUAUCCUUUUCGAGAUAACAAUCUUUCUUUGCUUUUAUAUAUCUGCAAAAUUACGAGACAUAGAUCCAAGAUUUGCCGCCAUGUUAAUCUUGAUGAUGAGAACUGCAAAGGGUUGUGGUGAUUUGAAGAGUAAUUUGAGGGGAGUAGUGAGGGAAGAUGAUGGGAUAAUUUAAAAUGAUGAAGACAAAUAGACCAUUGGAGUAUCAUCGUGCCACCAGAGGAACCACCCGAUCAUAUCCAUCUCCACUAGGCAUAAUGUCACACCAAUUCAUGAGGAAACCCAAUAAAUAUGGGAAAACCCCCCUUGUGGGAAUCGAACCCAGGACCUAUUGGUCCCAAAGCCUUAUCCCACCACCAAGAUGUCACUAGGCUAUAAAGCCAUGGGCUAAUGUUCCCUGUUUGUAUUAUGCAUAAUUUGUUUUUGUUGUUUUGCAUAGAUAUUGGGGAGAUAAUGUUUAAUCAACCAAAAUGUAAAGUUCUAUUAGAAAUAAGAUUUGAAUAAUUAGCCAGUUCUACUAGAAAUUAAAAUGAACAUUGUGUUAUCUAAGCGAAAUCAUUACAUUGAUGCUUUUAUAUGUUCGUAAUCAUGCUCAACUUUUCUCAUCUAACAUCUUUAACUGGAUGCUUUAUAAUUAUUUGAUAGACAUUCGUGUGCAGAAGUUUGUUUUGGUUUAUACGUGCUAAGGGUAUACGGGGCACUAGCGGGGAGUGCCUUCGGUGACCCAAUUCCCCUAGCGGGAACACCGCCGCCAUCCCUGCGGUGACCCAAUUCGGUGAAUGGGAUCGGUAGGAGGUUACCGCGUGAAGGGAGAGAGGGAGAGGGUGGCCCACAAGCUUUUCAACCAAUCAAAUUAUUUUCUUUUUUUUUUCUUUUUGAAUAAAAAAGCAAAUCCCUUAAGAGAGGAGUGCCGCCAUCAAAUUGAGGGUGUGAGGGAGUUUAAGAGGGGAGUUGACGUGGCGCGUGCUGAUUGGCCGUGCGUAAGGGAGGGGACUCCCCUAAGAGGGGAGUGCCCCUCUCACCCUAAAAUUGCCAAUAUUGGUGGUCCGCGCUACAUGUACGGUCAGGAGCGCAAAGGGAAAAAAGAUAAAACACAGCUUCACUUAUUUACACCAGAUGCUUGCAGAUAACUGAUGUCAAGACUAGAAAGGUUUCAAACCAUUGUUGGAGUUGACCAAUGAUGAUAUACAACCCUUUUUGAUAAUAUGUACAAUUGUAAAUAUUUAUUAGAAUAGUUAAUAUAUACUUUUUAUUUAUCAGGUA